GUACGGCCACAUUGGGACUGAGAUACGGCCCAGACUCCUACGGGAGGCAGCAGUGGGGAAUAUUGCACAAUGGGCGCAAGCCUGAUGCAGCGACGCCGCGUGGGGGAUGACGGCCUUCGGGUUGUAAACCUCUUUCAGUAGGGAAGAAGCGAGAGUGACGGUACCUGCAGAAGAAGCGCCGGCUAACUACGUGCCAGCAGCCGCGGUAAUACGUAGGGUGCGAGCGUUGUCCGGAAUUAC
Molecule: ribosomal RNA, 240 nt
Filed under: Nephroselmis pyriformis
Lineage: Eukaryota; Viridiplantae; Chlorophyta; Nephroselmidophyceae; Nephroselmidales; Nephroselmidaceae
Description: partial Bacterial small subunit ribosomal RNA
Rfam family: Bacterial small subunit ribosomal RNA
Source: RNAcentral